RNAcentral lists this ribosomal RNA (811 nucleotides) under uncultured bacterium. RNAcentral describes it as "bacterial SSU rRNA". It matches the Rfam family "Bacterial small subunit ribosomal RNA", at positions 55 to 878 of the family's 1533-position model. The record is from RNAcentral.
AUGCAGUCGAACGAUUAAACUCUCCUUCGGGAGAGAUAUAAAGUGGCGCACGGCCUUUNUNAACACGUAGGUAAUCUACCUUUGAGUGGGGAAUAACNAUCGGAAACGAUUGCUAAUACCGCAUAAUGCAGCGGCAUCGCAAGAUGACAGUUGUUAAAGGAGCAAUUCGCUUAAAGAGGAGCCUGCGGCAGAUUAGCUAGUUGGUAAGGUAAUGGCUUACCAAGGCUACGAUCUGUAACCGACCUGAGAGGGUGGUCGGUCACACUGACACUGAAUAACGGGUCAGACUCCUACGGGAGGCAGCAGUCGGGAAUUUUGGGCAAUGGGCGAAAGCCUGACCCAGCAACGCCGCGUGAAGGACGAAGUCUUUCGGGAUGUAAACUUCGUAAGAAUAGGAAGAAUAAAUGACGGUACUAUUUGUAAGGUCCGGCUAACUACGUGCCAGCAGCCGCGGUAAUACGUAGGGACCAAGCGUUGUUCGGAUUUACUGGGCGUAAAGGGCGCGUAGGCGGCAAUUCAAGUCAGUUGUGAAAUCUCCGAGCUUAACUCGGAACGGUCAACUGAUACUGCUUUGCUAGAGUACAGAAGGGGCAAUCGGAAUUCUUGGUGUAGCGGUGAAAUGCGUAGAUAUCAAGAGGAACACCUGAGGUGAAGACGGGUUGCUGGGCUGAUACUGACGCUGAGGCGCGAAAGCUAGGGUAGCAAACGGGAUUAGAUACCCCGGUAGUCCUAGCCCUAAACGAUGUAUGCUUGGUGUCUGGAGUUUUUAUUCUCCGGGUGCCGUCGCUACGUUUUAGCAUACCGCCUGGGG